UUUUACUGAAUACAAAUUGAUCCUUUGAAAUGUUAUGACAUUCAAUUCACCGUAGAAGCAUCUCGAGUACACGACCUCGGCCGUGGUUGAGGUACUUGUUGUUAUAGAGUUGUAUGAAUAUGACUUCGGCCUAAGUGAUCUGUUUCCCUCGUGAUGCAGAUUCUUAUUUUGUCAGAUUUUAAUCCAUACAAAUACCAGAGUUGUGUCUGAAGCAAUAUUCAAAACCAUGACAUGUGUCUAUACGCCCUCACAGCAUGCAAAGCACUCUCACCAAAGCCUUGGACCAGCCCUCCCAAGCUUUUUAAAAGGAAAAAAUAGAGUUUUUCUCCAAGUUUUUGGGUGAAAAAAAUUUAUUUUAGAACAGUUGCCUCAGUAAUUGUCCACGCCUAAAAACGCUUCUUGAAGAAACUUUAAGGAACAAAUUGUAAACAAAAUUUCACUUUUGUCAAAUUCCGCACGACCAACCGUUUUCUAAGACUAGUAUCGAAAACACGUUUUCAAACAAACACUUCUCUUUGGUAUCAGUGCUUCAAUUUACCAGUCUAUUGUCAAGCAAGCGUGUAUAUACAUUUAGAACGUAACUAAACUAUAUGAAAAAAGAAAGAACAAUUAAAACAAUUAAUUGCCCAAUAGAUGCAAGUUCCUGGUGUUGGGACCGCGCGUGCCCUCACCCCAACCCCGCAUUAGUAUGAUAUUGUCCGCUCUGGGCCAAGCUCCCACGGAUUUGUUUUUGAGCAUCUCCCAAAAGGCCUCAUACUAAUGGGGUUGGGUAAUCAUAUAUAUGUUGGUCUCUUUUUGUCUUUUCUUUCGGUGUGGGAGCUUUUGUUUGCACCCAACAAACCUCCCCUCAAAUAAACGACCACACAACUCGUGACCUCCCCUUCAGCGAUCCGCUAGGUCACACCAUUUCGAUCUGCCAAAUCAUUUUUGUACCGCCGUUAACACCAAACGGGACACGCCGCCCGACCACCACUUGUCAGGAAGACUUUCGACACAACCACCUGCAAAUCUCUGGUGAUGUUGUCACACCGGGCACACCGAGAACUCCGCACAACGCGGUCCGCCGCUCCCGCUUGCACGAAUCUGGGCUCUGAUACCACAUGUUGGGACCGUGCGUACCCUCACCCCAACCUCGCAUUAGUAUGAUAUUGUCCGCUUUGGGCCAAGCCCUCACGGAUUUAUUUUUGAGCAUCUCCCAAAAGGCCUCACACUAAUAGGGUUGGGUAAUCAUAUAUAUGUUUGUCUCUUUUUCUAAUUUCUUACGGUGUGGGAGCUCUUGUUUGCAUCCCAACACCAAGUUGGGGGACAAAUAGGACCAAGUGAAAUGUCAGGAUAAAAAGAUCGAAUUUUUUCAUCUACAAGACUGUAAUACCGCCGCAACUACCGGGGGACCCGCCGCCCGACCAUCUGUUUCUGUCGGGAAGACUUUCAACACAAGGCAUUUCCGCAGACACCUUACCCCGCUAGCCCGGAGAUCAGCUUUGGUCCAGUUUGGUACACCGUCGACUUCGCACGCGUCGGUCCGCUACUCCGCCUUCCGAACCGGGCUCUGAUACCACUUGUUGGGACCGCGCGUGCCCUCACCCCAACCCUGCAUUAGUAUGAUAUUGUCCGCUCUGGGCCAAGCCCCCAUGGAUUUGUUUUUGAUCAUCUCCCAAAAGGCCUCAUACUAAUGGGGUUGGAUAAUCAUAUAUAUGUUGGUCUCUUUUUCUCUUUUCUUCCGAUGUGGGAGCUUUGUUUGCA
RNAcentral lists this long non-coding RNA (1743 nucleotides) under Nicotiana benthamiana. RNAcentral describes it as "long non-coding RNA (NBEN_LNC021545)". Lineage: Eukaryota; Viridiplantae; Streptophyta; Magnoliopsida; Solanales; Solanaceae. The record is from RNAcentral.